This 276-nucleotide ribosomal RNA is filed under the name uncultured Dysgonomonas sp. Its description in RNAcentral is "partial 16S ribosomal RNA". It matches the Rfam family "Bacterial small subunit ribosomal RNA", at positions 63 to 339 of the family's 1533-position model. The record is from RNAcentral. Lineage: Bacteria; Pseudomonadati; Bacteroidota; Bacteroidia; Bacteroidales; Dysgonomonadaceae.
CGAGAGAGUAGCAAUACCCUUUUGGCGGCGACCGGCGGAUGGGUGAGUAACGCGUAUGCAACCUACCUACUACUUUGGGAUAGCUCGUUGAAAGACGAAUUAAUACCUUAUAAUACAGGGACUCCGCAUGGAGAUAUUUGUUAAAGAUUCAUUGGUAGUAGAUGGGCAUGCGUUCCAUUAGUUUGUUGGUGAGGUAACGGCUCACCAAGACAUCGAUGGAUAGGGGAACUGAGAGGUUUGUCCCCCACACUGGAACUGAGACACGGUCCAGACUCC